RNAcentral lists this transfer RNA (72 nucleotides) under Camelus bactrianus (Bactrian camel). It matches the Rfam family "tRNA". From Rfam's summary of the family: Transfer RNA (tRNA) molecules are approximately 80 nucleotides in length. Their secondary structure includes four short double-helical elements and three loops (D, anti-codon, and T loops). Lineage: Eukaryota; Metazoa; Chordata; Mammalia; Artiodactyla; Camelidae. The record is from Rfam by way of RNAcentral. RNAcentral also lists the same sequence under 2 other names.
GAAGGUAUAGCUUUGUGGUAGAGCAAAUGCCUAGCAUGCAUGAGGUCCUGAGUUCAAUCCCCAGUACCUCCA